RNAcentral lists this small RNA (682 nucleotides) under Pan troglodytes (chimpanzee). RNAcentral's name for it is "processed transcript". The record is from RNAcentral. Lineage: Eukaryota; Metazoa; Chordata; Mammalia; Primates; Hominidae.
GUCUGUGAACUAGAUAUCAUCUUUAAUUUUGAGAAGGCUUAUUUUAUUUUGGAUGAGUUUCUUUUGGGAGGGGAAGUUCAGGAAACAUCCAAGAAAAAUGUCCUUAAAGCAAUUGAGCAGGCCGAUCUACUGCAGGAGAGUUUCUUUUCUUCUUGAAGGAUGUUUUUCCAGUGAAGAGGGGUUUCUCCCUAUGAAGAGUAUUCUCACAUUUAAUAGAUGCCACGUCAUGAAUAUUUUAAUGUCCCUGUGUACUAAAUGACUACUCAUCGAGUAUGCAGAAUUUCACAGAGGAAAUAGAAUGCUGAUAUACAUAUGAAAGAAAAUAUCCUCAGCAUGGUGAUUUAUUGUCUUGUAUAAUAAUAGUAGAACAUUUUAGAACUAGUACUUUUAUGAUUGUAUUUUUUUCCUGUUCACAUUCCAAACUUUUCUGUUUUAUUUUCAUUCUAUAUGUGAUCUUGAUACAGCUCAUUCCUUUCUGCAACUGAUUUAAUCUCAUCUUGACAAAAUAUGACCUAGAAGUGUUUUGAGUAAUAUUAAAUCUUAAACACAUACAUAUUAUUAAUGAACCAUCUGUGAUUUAUCUUAUAAGAGGAAAACAUGACAAUCAUUAAAAUGUUUACCAAAGAAAAUAUAGCUGAAGUGCUAGGUCAAAAUAAGCAGUGCCAUAAUAUAUAGUGUAGUU